Molecule: ribosomal RNA, 255 nt
Filed under: uncultured bacterium
Lineage: Bacteria
Description: partial 16S ribosomal RNA
Rfam family: Bacterial small subunit ribosomal RNA
Source: RNAcentral
UACGGAGGGAGCUAGCGUUGUUCGGAAUUACUGGGCGUAAAGCGUACGUAGGCGGUUAUUCAAGUCAGAGGUGAAAGCCCGGGGCUCAACCCCGGGAACUGCCUUUGAAACUAGAUAAGCUAGAAUCUUGGAGAGGUCAGUGGAAUUCCGAGUGUAGAGGUGAAAUUCGUAGAUAUUCGGAAGAACACCAGUGGCGAAGGCGACUGACUGGACAAGUAUUGACGCUGAGGUACGAAAGCGUGGGGAGCAAACAGG